CGACGAGAUGGCCUCCCAAGCCACGUUCCUGUACGAGGUCGACGAGACGGCCUCCCAAGCCACGUUCAUGUACGAGGUCGAAGAGACGGCUUCCCAAGCCAAGUUCUUGUCCCAGGUCGAAGAGACAGCCUCCCGAGCCACGUUCAUGUCUGAGGUCGAGGAGGUGACCUCCCACGCCAUGUUCCAGUAUGAGAUCGAUGAUGUGACCUUCCGUGCCACAUUCCAGUCUGAGAUCGAAAUGUGACCUUCCAUGCCACGUUCCAGUCUGAGACCGAUGUCACGACCAACCAAGUUAUAU
Molecule: long non-coding RNA, 298 nt
Organism: Ictalurus punctatus (channel catfish)
Lineage: Eukaryota; Metazoa; Chordata; Actinopteri; Siluriformes; Ictaluridae
Source: Ensembl